CGGAGACAAAGUUUACGUGCUAAGGACAAGAUCUUUUUCGUGUCUACAAUGCGCCAAGA
RNAcentral lists this small nucleolar RNA (59 nucleotides) under Drosophila yakuba. Its description in RNAcentral is "snoRNA:GE27009". The record is from RNAcentral. Lineage: Eukaryota; Metazoa; Arthropoda; Insecta; Diptera; Drosophilidae.